UUGAUUGGUGCUUGCAUCAUGAUUUACAUUUGAGUGAGUGGCGAACUGGUGAGUAACACGUGGGAAACCUGCCCAGAAGCGGGGGAUAACACCUGGAAACAGAUGCUAAUACCGCAUAACAACUUGGACCGCAUGGUCCGAGUUUGAAAGAUGGCUUCGGCUAUCACUUUUGGAUGGUCCCGCGGCGUAUUAGCUAGAUGGUGGGGUAACGGCUCACCAUGGCAAUGAUACGUAGCCGACCUGAGAGGGUAAUCGGCCACAUUGGGACUGAGACACGGCCCAAACUCCUACGGGAGGCAGCAGUAGGGAAUCUUCCACAAUGGACGAAAGUCUGAUGGAGCAACGCCGCGUGAGUGAAGAAGGGUUUCGGCUCGUAAAACUCUGUUGUUAAAGAAGAACAUAUCUGAGAGUAACUGUUCAGGUAUUGACGGUAUUUAACCAGAAAGCCACGGCUAACUACGUGCCAGCAGCCGCGGUAAUACGUAGGUGGCAAGCGUUGUCCGGAUUUAUUGGGCGUAAAGCGAGCGCAGGCGGUUUUUUAAGUCUGAUGUGAAAGCCUUCGGCUCAACCGAAGAAGUGCAUCGGAAACUGGGAAACUUGAGUGCAGAAGAGGACAGUGGAACUCCAUGUGUAGCGGUGAAAUGCGUAGAUAUAUGGAAGAACACCAGUGGCGAAGGCGGCUGUCUGGUCUGUAACUGACGCUGAGGCUCGAAAGUAUGGGUAGCAAACAGGAUUAGAUACCCUGGUAGUCCAUACCGUAAACGAUGAAUGCUAAGUGUUGGAGGGUUUCCGCCCUUCAGUGCUGCAGCUAACGCAUUAAGCAUUCCGCCUGGGGAGUACGGCCGCAAGGCUGAAACUCAAAGGAAUUGACGGGGGCCCGCACAAGCGGUGGAGCAUGUGGUUUAAUUCGAAGCUACGCGAAGAACCUUACCAGGUCUUGACAUACUAUGCAAAUCUAAGAGAUUAGACGUUCCCUUCGGGGACAUGGAUACAGGUGGUGCAUGGUUGUCGUCAGCUCGUGUCGUGAGAUGUUGGGUUAAGUCCCGCAACGAGCGCAACCCUUAUUAUCAGUUGCCAGCAUUAAGUUGGGCACUCUGGUGAGACUGCCGGUGACAAACCGGAGGAAGGUGGGGAUGACGUCAAAUCAUCAUGCCCCUUAUGACCUGGGCUACACACGUGCUACAAUGGAUGGUACAACGAGUUGCGAACUCGCGAGAGUAAGCUAAUCUCUUAAAGCCAUUCUCAGUUCGGAUUGUAGGCUGCAACUCGCCUACAUGAAGUCGGAAUCGCUAGUAAUCGCGGAUCAGCAUGCCGCGGUGAAUACGUUCCCGGGCCUUGUACACACCGCCCGUCACACCAUGAGAGUUUGUAACACCCAAAGUCGGUG
RNAcentral lists this ribosomal RNA (1387 nucleotides) under Lactiplantibacillus plantarum. Its description in RNAcentral is "bacterial SSU rRNA". It matches the Rfam family "Bacterial small subunit ribosomal RNA", at positions 69 to 1432 of the family's 1533-position model. Lineage: Bacteria; Bacillati; Bacillota; Bacilli; Lactobacillales; Lactobacillaceae. The record is from RNAcentral.